Molecule: ribosomal RNA, 497 nt
Filed under: uncultured bacterium
Lineage: Bacteria
Description: partial 16S ribosomal RNA
Rfam family: Bacterial small subunit ribosomal RNA
Source: RNAcentral
GAUGAACGCUGGCGGCGUGCCUAAUACAUGCAAGUCGAGCGAACAGAUGAGGAGCUUGCUCCUCUGACGUUAGCGGCGGACGGGUGAGUAACACGUGGCUAACCUACCUAUAAGACUGGGAUAACUUAGGGAAACCGGAGCUAAUACCGGAUAAUAUAUUGAACCGCAUGGUUCAAUAGUGAAAGACGGCUUUGCUGUCCCUUAUAGAUGGAUCCGCGCCGCAUUAGCUAGUUGGUAAGGUAACGGCUUACCAAGGCAACGAUGCGUAGCCGACCUGAGAGGGUGAUCGGGCACACUGGAACUGAGACGCGGUCCAGACCCCUGCGGGAAGCAGCAGUAGGGAAUCUUCCGCAGUGUGCGAAGGCCUGACGGGGCGACGCCGCGUGAGUGGUGAAGGUCUGCGGAUCGUAAAACUCUGUUAAUAGGGAAGAACAAAUGUGUAAGGAACUAUGCACGGCUUGGCGGUACCUAAGCAGAAAGCCACGGCUAACUACGUG